This 230-nucleotide ribosomal RNA is filed under the name uncultured microorganism. Its description in RNAcentral is "partial 16S ribosomal RNA". It matches the Rfam family "Bacterial small subunit ribosomal RNA", at positions 524 to 754 of the family's 1533-position model. The record is from RNAcentral.
UACGUAGGUGGCGAGCGUUGUCCGGAAUCAUUGGGCGUAAAGGGAGCGCAGGCGGGCAUGUAAGUCUUUCUUAAAAGUGCGGGGCUCAACCCCGUGAUGGGAAAGAAACUAUGUGUCUUGAGUACAGGAGAGGAAAGCGGAAUUCCCAGUGUAGCGGUGAAAUGCGUAGAUAUUGGGAGGAACACCAGUGGCGAAGGCGGCUUUCUGGACUGCAACUGACGCUGAGGCUC